RNAcentral lists this ribosomal RNA (427 nucleotides) under uncultured bacterium. RNAcentral's name for it is "bacterial SSU rRNA". It matches the Rfam family "Bacterial small subunit ribosomal RNA", at positions 355 to 774 of the family's 1533-position model. The record is from RNAcentral.
UAGGGAAUAUUGGACAAUGGGGGCAACCCUGAUCCAGCCAUGCCGCGUGAGUGAAGAAGGCCCUCGGGUUGUAAAGCUCUUUUGUCCGGAAAGAAAAGCUUCGGGUUAAUACCCCGGGGUUCUGACGGUACCGGAAGAAUAAGCACCGGCUAACUUCGUGCCAGCAGCCGCGGUAAUACGAAGGGUGCAAGCGUUACUCGGAAUUACUGGGCGUAAAGCGUGCGUAGGUGGUUGUUUAAGUCUGAUGUGAAAGCCCUGGGCUCAACCUGGGAAUGGCAUUGGAAACUGGGCAGCUAGAGUGCGGUAGAGGGCAGUGGAAUUCCCGGUGUUGCAGUGAAAUGCGUAGAGAUCGGGAGGAACAUCUGUGGCGAAGGCGACUGCCUGGACCAGCACUGACACUGAGGCACGAAAGCGUGGGGAGCAAACA